RNAcentral lists this unclassified non-coding RNA (21 nucleotides) under Mus musculus (house mouse). RNAcentral's name for it is "oocyte_clustered_small_RNA12184". The record is from RNAcentral. Lineage: Eukaryota; Metazoa; Chordata; Mammalia; Rodentia; Muridae.
CAGGGUCCUGAGCAUCCUCCG